UGUGUACUCCCUCCGUUCCAAAAUACCUGACUUCCAUUUGUCCCAAAAAUGUAUGUACCUAUAUACUAAAACAUGUCUACAUACAUAUAUAUUUUGACAAAUAGAAGGCAUGUAUUGUGGAACAGAGGGAGUAGAAU
This is a non-coding RNA of Triticum aestivum (bread wheat), 137 nucleotides long. NCBI's taxonomy places the organism in Eukaryota, Viridiplantae, Streptophyta, Magnoliopsida, Poales, Poaceae. The record is from Rfam.